GUAUCUGCAAAAUAACUCUGGGGUAUGGCACAGGAUAUUAUGUAUAGAAAGUGAGAAAGACCUGAAGGUUCUUGGCUAUUUUGUUCCACCUGAUUUUUUGUUUGUUUGCUUCUGCAUUUUUAACUUCUCUGAUUAAAUUUGCUCUUUGGAAUUUAGGGAAGACUUGGGAGGUUAAAUAUUUUCUACAAACAAAAGGAGGGGAUACAGGAAUGUGUAUGUAUGUCCCCAGGAAGGCCCUGCAGUGUCCUGAUGAAACAAGAAAAAGAAGUGGAGAGAAGAGAGCAAAGGAGGGGAAGCAAAAGGAGAGUGAUACACUGGUGAUGGUCUCAUUCCUGAGCUAUUUAUUGAGGAACUGUUGUGCCAGGUACUGUGCUGGGUACUGGAAAAUCAGGAAAAUAUAACCAGGAGCUGGUCUGUCUUUAAAGGAUUGACUGUUUUCUGCUUUCUGUCUGUUUCAUUGCUGGAGAUUCUGAAUUUCCUGUGCAGAUGUGUUUAACAUUCAGCUAGGGAGAAGGCAGGGCAGGGUAGGGUGGAGAGGGCUGGGGACUCAGGCUGAGUGUACUCUGAUUUUUCACCUCGGCGCUUCUGAGGUUUUUCUGGCUUAUAGGAUAUAUUCCUUCAAUAUUCUCUUCAUCUGUUUUGAUGCCCUGAGCUUUAUCAUCUACCACUUCAAAAUGUGUAAGAGUACAGUUUUCUGCUGUCACAGCUGGGUGAAAUGGGGAGUACUUCCAGGCUAAGAAGCCAUAAACCCACAAUUCUUUCUUAGUGAAAUAGGGAUCUUUCACAUAUAAACACUUUUCAAGUCUCUUCUCACUUUGGUCAUUUUUAUUGUUUUCAAAUCAUUGCUUAGCAUAUUACUCAAGUUUUAUAAUUAUGAUCUAAUGGUUGAAUUGCCAGAUGUGUUUAUGUCAUCAUUAUUGCAAACCCUGCCCAUUUUUAUCCUGAACUACUUCUUUUAAAGAAAAGAUAAUCAAGUGUUUUAUUAAAUAUUGGAUUUUCAUCUGAAGAAUUGCUGAGUUCCUACUAGAUUUUCACAAUUUACUUAGAAUCCAUAUUUACCCAGACAUAUAGCUAUAAUAUUCUUCUAGUAGGGGAAACAUCCCAGAGUUGCUUUUCUUUGUCCAUUGUAUAUGACAAAAGUAAUUACAAUGACUAGAUUUAAAUAUGUCCCAGAAAGAAAUAUUUUAAAAACAUUCAAAAAAUUUAAAUGUACUGAUAUUGGAUGGCACUUUUCACAAAUAGCUAAGACUAGCGAUAAUAUCCCAGAAGAAUAAAAAAUGCGAAAAGAAUCAGUUAUAACAAUAUCCAAUUAUGUAAAAUUAUAUGUGUAAUCAUAUAUUACUCCAACAAUCCCUUAUCUGAAAUCCCUGGGACCAGAUACAUUUCAAAAUUCUGAAAGUUUAUAUUUUACAAAAGUAAUACCAUGUUAUUUCAUGUUUUAAGAAGUGCUUGGGGCAGCACACUAUAAUCAAACACAUUAAUACUUUUGCUGUGAAAUGUAUGAAUAUCAUAUUAAUGGAAAGAAUGGUAAGCCUGUAAGUUCAUGUCAGCACUUAUCAGAAUUUGUCACAAAUGAUUUAAAUAAAAUUUUUGUUUGUGGGGAGUACCCAUUGUGGCUCAGCGGAAACAAAUCUGACUAGCAUCCAUGAGGACGUAGGUUCGUUCCCUGGCAUUGCUGUGAGAUGUGGUGUAGGUUUCAGACUUGGCUCAGAUCUGGCAUUGCUGUGGCUGUGGUGUAGGCCAGUGGCUACAGCUCCAAGUAGCCUGGGAACCUCCCUACACUGCAGGUGUGGCCCUAAAAAGACAGAGGAAAACUUCCAUAUGCUGCAGGUGUAGCCCUAAAAAGAGAAAAAAAA
This 1856-nucleotide long non-coding RNA is filed under the name Sus scrofa (pig). RNAcentral describes it as "lncRNA (ENSSSCG00035004877.1)". The record is from RNAcentral. Lineage: Eukaryota; Metazoa; Chordata; Mammalia; Artiodactyla; Suidae.